Carassius auratus (goldfish) is the source of this 1468-nucleotide long non-coding RNA. RefSeq lists it as uncharacterized. The record is from RefSeq and is a predicted model, not a curated record. Lineage: Eukaryota; Metazoa; Chordata; Actinopteri; Cypriniformes; Cyprinidae. The transcript has 4 exons.
CGAGACUAGAACACACAACCCUUCGAUUGGGAGUCCAACCCUCUAACCAUUAGGCCACGACUUCCCGAAAACAUGAGAUAACCGUAUUGCGAUGUGUCUGCAAACGUUAUCGCUAGACCAUAUUACGUUAUUAGCGUGUCAUUAUGUUAACGUUGCAUGCUUGAUGUGAGCAUUAACGUUGCUAAUAUGAGUGUGUAUUUACGUCUGAAGCUAAUGGGGGAAUUUAGUUUUGAGUUAAACUGUCAAAAUGACUUUUUACAUUCUUACAGGCUAUUGUGUAUGCUCGAUAACGCCUCACUGAAGCCGGAUCAUAGGACUAAUGUAGCCCAUAUUGACUUGAGAGAAAUAUUAAACAAGAUGUAUUUUACGGAUGUUUGGAAACCAUGGGAUCUUGACUAGAGUGUAAAAUAAAGUUCUGUGGGUUUGGAUCUAUCUAUCUAUCUAUCUAUCUAUCUAUCUAUCUAUCUAUCUAUCUUGAACUUGAAAAAUAAAACCCAAAGGUCUGUCUUUCUGAUUAGCUGUCUGCCUGCCUGUGUUACAUUAAUGUCUUUUUACCUAACUUUUUUGUCUCCCUUUACAGCAUACAUUUCCAGCUGGUUGCAAGGACUUCUGUGGCAAGUUGGUUUUAUUACUUCCAUGCUCUAUGUCUUUGUUGAACUAUCCAAAAUUUGGUUUUGGGCUGUUUCGAAUUUAUUGUUCACAAAUCUGUCUUGUGCAAGUUUCUCUCUGUCUGUGUUUUAGGUUGAAGUUGGCCGAGAGCGAUAAGUCGUACAGUUGCUGAUCUAGAAGCAUUAGGCAAGAGUGUCUGAGAACGAUGAGAGAACUCCCAUUAAUGGGAAUCAAAAGGAAACCCUGAAAUCAUUUUUUAAGGAUGGAAUGACACGAGUUGGUUCAGAAUUAAUACCAAGAGCUGCAUCAGCUACUGGUUUGGAAACCAGUGUCAUAGAAAUAAGAACUGGAUUGGUAAUUACAAAAGAUCGCAAAUGACCAAUGCUUUGUCUGAGCCCCGGCCAUCCAAAGCCAAAGUUCACAUUAGAGAGCUGUCGCCUUACAAUCUUUUUUGUAGGGACAUAUUCAAAAACAAAGGCACAAUGAAUGAUAUUAAGGGCAGGUGCGCCACAUUGGGGGAAGAUGCAAAGCAGAAAUACAUUCAAGAGGCAGCAGCACCAGUGGCGAAGCCAGGAUGUUUUUAUAGGGGUGGCCAAGUAAGGGCCAGCAACCAGUCUGGGGUGGCACAGAAAUCUUCAUUAUUUUAUAUAAAAAAUGUGUUUGACUAUAAUGUAGGCAUAAUGGGCUAUUUUAGUGCCUUAAACACAACUGAGUACAAUUAAUUUUUUUAUUAUUCCUCACCUCCAGGUAUUUUAAAAAAGGGGCUCACUUUAACUUUAUUGCUCAUUCAGCUUCUCAAAACUUGUAAAUGCUUGUUCUCCAACAUUAAUCAUGGAUGAGGCGUGCAAUGAUAAAAAAA